RNAcentral lists this ribosomal RNA (526 nucleotides) under uncultured bacterium. RNAcentral's name for it is "bacterial SSU rRNA". It matches the Rfam family "Bacterial small subunit ribosomal RNA", at positions 8 to 518 of the family's 1533-position model. The record is from RNAcentral.
AGGGUUCGAUUCUGGCUCAGGAUAAACGCUGGCGGCGUGCUUAACACAUGCAAGUCGAACGGAGUAGUUCUCCCGAGGAUUGAUGAAGCUUGCUUCUGAUAAACUCAUUUGAGCUACUUAGUGGCGGACGGGUGAGUAACGCGUGGGUAACCUGCCCUAUGCAGGGGGAUAACAGUUGGAAACGACUGUUAAUACCGCAUAAGCGCACAGUAUCGCAUGGUACGGUGUGAAAAACUCCGGUGGCAUAGGAUGGACCCGCGUCUGAUUAGCUAGUUGGUGAGGUAACGGCCCACCAAGGCGACGAUCAGUAGCCGACCUGAGAGGGUGUACGGCCACAUUGGGACUGAGACACGGCCCAAACUCCUACGGGAGGCAGCAGUGGGGAAUAUUGGACAAUGGGGGAAACCCUGAUCCAAGCGACGCCGCGUGAACGAUGAAGUAUUUCGGUAUGUAAAGUUCUAUCAGCAGGGAAGAUAAUGACGGUACCUGACUAAGAAGCACCGGCUAAAUACGUGCCAGCAGCCGC